GCUUCCAGGAAAAGCCUCUAAGCAUCAGGUAACAUCAAAUCGUACCCCAAACCGACACAGGUGGUCAGGUAGAGAAUACCAAGGCGCUUGAGAGAACUCGGGUGAAGGAACUAGGCAAAAUGGUGCCGUAACUUCGGGAGAAGGCACGCUGACACGUAGGUGAAGUGAUUUACUCACGGAGCUGAAGUCAGUCGAAGAUACCAGCUGGCUGCAACUGUUUAUUAAAAACACAGCACUGUGCAAACACGAAAGUGGACGUAUACGGUGUGACGCCUGCCCGGUGCCGGAAGGUUAAUUGAUGGGGUCAGCGCAAGCGAAGCUCCUGAUCGAAGCCCCGGUAAACGGCGGCCGUAACUAUAACGGUCCUAAGGUAGCGAAAUUCCUUGUCGGGUAAGUUCCGACCUGCACGAAUGGCGUAAUGAUGGCCAGGCUGUCUCCACCCGAGACUCAGUGAAAUUGAACUCGCUGUGAAGAUGCAGUGUACCCGCGGCAAGACGGAAAGACCCCGUGAACCUUUACUAUAGCUUGACACUGAACAUUGAGCCUUGAUGUGUAGGAUAGGUGGGAGGCUUUGAAGCGUGGACGCCAGUCUGCGUGGAGCCGACCUUGAAAUACCACCCUUUAAUGUUUGAUGUUCUAACGUGGACCCGUAAUCCGGGUUGCGGACAGUGUCUGGUGGGUAGUUUGACUGGGGCGGUCUCCUCCUAAAGAGUAACGGAGGAGCACGAAGGUUGGCUAAUCCUGGUCGGACAUCAGGAGGUUAGUGCAAUGGCAUAAGCCAGCUUGACUGCGAGCGUGACGGCGCGAGCAGGUGCGAAAGCAGGUCAUAGUGAUCCGGUGGUUCUGAAUGGAAGGGCCAUCGCUCAACGGAUAAAAGGUACUCCGGGGAUAACAGGCUGAUACCGCCCAAGAGUUCAUAUCGACGGCGGUGUUUGGCACCUCGAUGUCGGCUCAUCACAUCCUGGGGCUGAAGUAGGUCCCAAGGGUAUGGCUGUUCGCCAUUUAAAGUGGUACGCGAGCUGGGUUUAGAACGUCGUGAGACAGUUCGGUCCCUAUCUGCCGUGGGCGCUGGAGAACUGAGGGGGGCUGCUCCUAGUACGAGAGGACCGGAGUGGACGCAUCACUGGUGUUCGGGUUGUCAUGCCAAUGGCACUGCCCGGUAGCUAAAUGCGGAAGAGAUAAGUGCUGAAAGCAUCUAAGCACGAAACUUGCCCCGAGAUGAGUUCUCCCUGAGACUUAGAGUCUCCUGAAGGAACGUUGAAGACGACGACGUUGAUAGGCCGGGUGUGUAAGCGCAGCGAUGCGUUGAGCUAACCGGUACUAAUGAACCGUGAGGCUUAACCUUACAACGCCGAAG
This 1357-nucleotide ribosomal RNA is filed under the name Salmonella enterica subsp. enterica serovar Hvittingfoss. RNAcentral describes it as "partial 23S ribosomal RNA". It matches the Rfam family "Bacterial large subunit ribosomal RNA", at positions 1604 to 2925 of the family's 2925-position model. Lineage: Bacteria; Pseudomonadati; Pseudomonadota; Gammaproteobacteria; Enterobacterales; Enterobacteriaceae. The record is from RNAcentral.